This 498-nucleotide unclassified non-coding RNA is filed under the name uncultured Glomus. RNAcentral describes it as "SSU rRNA". It matches the Rfam family "Eukaryotic small subunit ribosomal RNA", at positions 569 to 1071 of the family's 1831-position model. The record is from RNAcentral. Lineage: Eukaryota; Fungi; Glomeromycota; Glomeromycetes; Glomerales; Glomeraceae.
AGCAGCCGCGGUAAUUCCAGCUCCAAUAGCGUAUAUUAAAGUUGUUGCAGUUAAAAAGCUCGUAGUUGAAUUUCGGGGUCAGUAGGCUGGUCGUGCCACAGGUAUGUACUGGUCUCACUGAUUCCUCCUUCCUGAUGAACCGUAAUGCCAUUAAUUUGGUGUUGCGGGGAAUCUGGACUGUUACUUUGAAAAAAUUAGAGUGUUUAAAGCAGGCUAACGCUUGAAUACAUUAGCAUGGAAUAAUGAAAUAGGACGAUCGAUCCUAUUUUGUUGGUUUCUAGGAUUGACGUAAUGAUUAAUAGGGAUAGUUGGGGGCAUUAGUAUUCAAUUGUCAGAGGUGAAAUUCUUGGAUUUAUUGAAGACUAACUACUGCGAAAGCAUUUGCCAAGGAUGUUUUCAUUAAUCAAGAACGAAAGUUAGGGGAUCGAAGACGAUCAGAUACCGUCGUAGUCUUAACCAUAAACUAUGCCGACUAGGGAUCGGAUGAUGUUAAUUUUU